GCCCUCGUAGCUCAGGGGAUAGAGCACCCGCCUCCUAAGCGGGGGGCCGUUGGUUCGAAUCCAACCGGGGGCA
Molecule: transfer RNA, 73 nt
Filed under: Catenulispora acidiphila DSM 44928
Lineage: Bacteria; Bacillati; Actinomycetota; Actinomycetes; Catenulisporales; Catenulisporaceae
Also listed under: 6 other names
Description: tRNA-Arg (CCT) (tRNA-Arg-CCT-1-1)
Rfam family: tRNA
About the family: Transfer RNA (tRNA) molecules are approximately 80 nucleotides in length. Their secondary structure includes four short double-helical elements and three loops (D, anti-codon, and T loops).
Source: Rfam by way of RNAcentral